Molecule: long non-coding RNA, 633 nt
Filed under: Equus caballus (horse)
Lineage: Eukaryota; Metazoa; Chordata; Mammalia; Perissodactyla; Equidae
Description: lncRNA (ENSECAG00000045646.1)
Source: RNAcentral
GUGAGCAUGACGUGGGAUUUUUCAUCUGGAUGGAGUUAUAAGAAGCUAAGUUUGAUGAAUGACUUCCAGAUAUACUGGCAGCCCUAGGAUGCAUCACGGCCCUUGGGAUGGUGGUGUUCUUCCCACUCCAGAUGUUUGAUGUGUCGUCUUCUUCCAGAACCCUGAGAGCCUUCCGCCAAUCCCCACACCUCCAUUCUUUCUGCUGGACUUCUCAGAGGUCAUCCCAUACAUGGCGCUCUGCCACAGCUUCCCAGAAACAGAUCAGCAAACCCUCACCAGCGAGAAGGAAGCUAUCCACAACCCAGGAAGAGAGCUCUCACCAAGAACCGAAUCUGCUAGCACUUUGGACUUCCCAGCCUUCAGAACGGUUGGGGAACUUGGAUUUGGGAAUUGGAGAGGAAGAAACUCCAGCUUCCCUCUGAGGACAGCACAGCGUGAUAAAGUAGAGGCCACAGAGAAAACACGCUGAAUAAAGAGCGUUCAACUGAGGCAACCCGAGAUGCUGAAGCCUUUCCUGGGUGCUUCAAAUCCCCGGCAAAGAUGAUUUGUAGGUCCUAGUGUGGAAAACGGUGAAGAACCUGAAUUCAAUGUCCUGGGUGAUUUGGAGGGCUGCCAAGGGCUGAGACAUGGAAC